Long non-coding RNA from Rhineura floridana, 496 nucleotides. RefSeq lists it as uncharacterized. The record is from RefSeq and is a predicted model, not a curated record. The transcript has 4 exons. Lineage: Eukaryota; Metazoa; Chordata; Lepidosauria; Squamata; Rhineuridae.
GUGUCAUGGAAGGUUUGGAGGACACAGCAGUCAGGAAGCUAGGCAAAUAAUUUUACUGAAUCCAGAGAUGGAACUUUUUCCAGGAAACACAGAACCAGCUUCCUGGUCAGUGAGAGGGGCAUGACAGGAUUUAUAGAAAGAUGCAAGAGAUGGCUGUUGUCUAUACUCGAGCGGAUCGGUAGGAAUGGGAAAAUCAAUCAAAAUGUAUAAAAUGGAGGGCUGCCUCUUCAGGAGAUGGCGAGAGGCGCAUUAUGUUCCUUCGGGGGGGAGGGUCCAAAAAGACAUGUGCUUCCCUUGGUUGGCAUUGCACGAGAGUCCUGUUCAUCACUUGGCAGCUCCCAAACCAUACAGGGACUGAAGAUGCAAUGUGAUCUUGCCCAGGAUUGCAAAUAUCCAGACGUUCCUGUACCAAACCUGCAUGCCCAGAUCCUUCAACAGUUUCCAGUGCUGCAAUACCGAAAGUCUUGCCGCUAUUGAUAAUUUGGAAAGAUCUUUA